Molecule: ribosomal RNA, 414 nt
Filed under: uncultured bacterium
Lineage: Bacteria
Description: bacterial SSU rRNA
Rfam family: Bacterial small subunit ribosomal RNA
Source: RNAcentral
AGCGAACGCUAGCGGCAGGCUUAACACAUGCAAGUCGAGCGGGAUGACUUCGGUCAUCCAGCGGCGCACGGGUGAAUAACACGUAGGUAACGUACCCUUUGGUGAGGAACAACCCAGGGAAACCUGGGCUAAUGCCACCUAUGUCCUUCGGAUGAAAGUACGAAAGAACGCCAGGGGAGUCGGCCUGCGGCCCACUUAUCUAAUCCUAGUUGGUAAGGUAACGGCUUACCAAGGGUACGAUGGGUAGCUGGUCUGAGAGGAUGAUCAGCCACACUGGGACUGAGACACGGCCCAGACUCCUACGGGAGGCAGCAGUGGGGAAUAUUGCGCAAUGGGCGAAAGCCUGACGCAGCCAUGCCGCGUGAGUGAUGAAGGCCCUCGGGUCGUAAAGCUCUGUCGGGAGGGACGAAGGGU